AAGUCGUAACAAGGUUUCCGUAGGUGAACCCGCGGAAGGAUCAUUAUUAGGUGAGCGCCUUCGGGUGCCAGCUUCAACCCUCGUGUCAAAAUACACCUCGUUGCUUUGGCGGGCCCGCCUCUGGGCCGCCGGGGUCCUUAUGGGCCCUGGCCAGUGCCCGCCGGGAGCCUUCUUUAAUUCUAAUUAACUGUGGAGUCUGAGUACAACGAUAAAUCGUUAAAA
Molecule: unclassified non-coding RNA, 222 nt
Filed under: plant metagenome
Description: partial contains small subunit ribosomal RNA and internal transcribed spacer 1
Rfam family: Eukaryotic small subunit ribosomal RNA (bases 1-46)
Source: RNAcentral